Molecule: ribosomal RNA, 376 nt
Filed under: uncultured Glomeromycotina
Lineage: Eukaryota; Fungi; Glomeromycota
Description: LSU rRNA
Source: RNAcentral
UUGAAAGGGAAACGAUUGAAGUCAGUCGUACCGGCGGGAAAUCAGCUUCUCGAGUGGGGGUUCGUGGGUGCGUUGAGCUUCGGCCUUCGUCGCUUGUGAUUGUUCCUUUGCUUCUGGGGCGUACUUUUCCGUGUGGUAGGUCAACAUCGGUUUUGAUUACCAUAAAAUGACCGGAGGAAUGUGGCUUCGAUCUUGUAUUGGAGUGUUAUAGCCUCUGGUAGAUGUGGUGGUUGGGAUCGAGGAUUGCAACGAAUACCCUUUGGGCUAUCCGCCUGACCUCUGAAAGUCGCUUGGGUACCGAAAGCUUGCUUAUGGUCAUUCAAGUUGGCGGUCAAAAGGUUAGAACGUGAUUAAAUUCGUUAAGGAUGUUGACGUA